GAACGGGUGAGUAACACGUGGGCAAUCUGCCCUUCACUCUGGGACAAGCCCUGGAAACGGGGUCUAAUACCGGAUAACACUCUGUCCCGCAUGGGACGGGGUUGAAAGCUCCGGCGGUGAAGGAUGAGCCCGCGGCCUAUCAGCUUGUUGGUGGGGUGAUGGCCUACCAAGGCGACGACGGGUAGCCGGCCUGAGAGGGCGACCGGCCACACUGGGACUGAGACACGGCCCAGACUCCUACGGGAGGCAGCAGUGGGGAAUAUUGCACAAUGGGCGAAAGCCUGAUGCAGCGACGCCGCGUGAGGGAUGACGGCCUUCGGGUUGUAAACCUCUUUCAGCAGGGAAGAAGCGAAAGUGACGGUACCUGCAGAAGAAGCGCCGGCUAACUACGUGCCAGCAGCCGCGGUAAUACGUAGGGCGCAAGCGUUGUCCGGAAUUAUUGGGCGUAAAGAGCUCGUAGGCGGCUUGUUGCGUCGGUUGUGAAAGCCCGGGGCUUAACCCCGGGUCUGCAGUCGAUACGGGCAGGCUAGAGUGUGGUAGGGGAGAUCGGAAUUCCUGGUGUAGCGGUGAAAUGCGCAGAUAUCAGGAGGAACACCGGUGGCGAAGGCGGAUCUCUGGGCCAUUACUGACGCUGAGGAGCGAAA
Molecule: ribosomal RNA, 644 nt
Filed under: Streptomyces sp. 4311_5
Lineage: Bacteria; Bacillati; Actinomycetota; Actinomycetes; Kitasatosporales; Streptomycetaceae
Also listed under: 2 other names
Description: bacterial SSU rRNA
Rfam family: Bacterial small subunit ribosomal RNA
Source: RNAcentral